GCUCGGUCGGCGAGUUUGGGAUGUCGCUUCCCCUCCUGGCGCGGUGGGCCGGCGAGGCGAUCGACGUCCGGAUCCAACACGGAGCCGAUCGC
Molecule: transfer RNA, 92 nt
Filed under: Paludisphaera borealis
Lineage: Bacteria; Pseudomonadati; Planctomycetota; Planctomycetia; Isosphaerales; Isosphaeraceae
Description: tRNA-Ala
Source: RNAcentral